This 848-nucleotide ribosomal RNA is filed under the name Lavigeria nassa. RNAcentral describes it as "partial 16S ribosomal RNA". It matches the Rfam family "Archaeal large subunit ribosomal RNA", at positions 1517 to 2653 of the family's 2987-position model. Lineage: Eukaryota; Metazoa; Mollusca; Gastropoda; Thiaridae. The record is from RNAcentral.
UAAUUAGUGAUUUAUUGCUAUUAAGUCAACUAAGCUCGACAUGUUAUCGAGGAUCAGCUCAAUAAUAUAAUGGAGAAAAGCAUAUACCUAUCAAUCUGUGUGGGCCUAAAAUUAGCCAUCACUCAUAAGUUUGUUAUAAAAUAGUUUAAUAUUUAGGUUUAAAUAAAAUUGCUUUAUUCCCAUUUAAAAUGAAGAUAAAAUUUCUAAUCAAUUUUUAUUUAUGCCUAUGCUAGGAUGAGUAUUAAAAUUCUUUUUAAAGCUUGCAUUAUUACAUUUGCGAGAUUAUUAAUAAAUAUUAGAAACAUUAAUUAAAAAAAAGGAACUCGGCAAUUGUGUUGCUCCGCCUGUUUAUCAAAAACAUGGUUCCUCGACUAAUAAAAAUGAGGAAUCAGGCCUGCCCAGUGAAAUUUUAACGGCCGCGGUACUCUGACCGUGCAAAGGUAGCAUAAUCAUUUGCCUUAUAAUUGAAGGCUAGUAUGAAUGGUUUAACGUGAGCGGCGCUGUCUACUUUUAUAUUUUCUAUAAAUUAACCUUUAGGUGAAGAGGCCUAAAUUUAAUUAAAGGACAAGAAGACCCUGUCGAGCUUAAAAGCUUAAAAAGAAAUUGUUAUUAAUAAAAUUUAUUUCUUUUGUAACUUUUUAGUUGGGGCGACUAAGGAACAAAUAAAGCUUCUUUCACUAAAACAGCCAAUAAGCUAAGAUCCAGUUUACUGAGCAAGAAAAUUAGUUACCGCAGGGAUAACAGCAUAAUCUUCCUUGAGAGACCAAAUCGAAAGGGGGGGUUGUGACCUCGAUGUUGGACUAGAAUAUCCUAAAGAUGCAGACGUCUUUGAGGGUUGGUCUGUUCGA